AUACCCUGGAGGUCACACCCGUUCCCAUCCCGAACACGGCCGUUAAGCUCCAGAGGGCCGAUGAUACUGCAUUUCUAAGUGUGGAAAAGUAGGUCGCUGCGACGU
This 105-nucleotide ribosomal RNA is filed under the name Bacillota bacterium. The record is from RNAcentral. Lineage: Bacteria; Bacillati; Bacillota.